GAUGAACGCUGGCGGCGUGCCUAAUACAUGCCAGUCGAGCGAACAGACGAGGAGCUUGCUCCUCUGACGUUAGCGGCGGACGGGUGAGUAACACGUGGAUAACCUACCUAUAAGACUGGGAUAACUUCGGGAAACCGGAGCUAAUACCGGAUAAUAUAUUGAACCGCAUGGUUCAAUAGUGAAAGACGGUUUUGCUGUCACUUAUAGAUGGAUCCGCGCCGCAUUAGCUAGUUGGUAAGGUAACGGCUUACCAAGGCAACGAUGCGUAGCCGACCUGAGAGGGUGAUCGGCCACACUGGAACGGAGACACGGUCCAGACUCCUACGGGAGGAAGCAGUAGGGAAUCUUCCGCAAUGGGCGAAAGCCUGACGGAGCAACGCCGCGUGAGUGAUGAAGGUCUUCGGAUCGUAAAACUCUGUUAUUAGGGAAGAACAAAUGUGUAAGUAACUAUGCACGUCUUGACGGUACCUAAUCAGAAAGCCACGGCUAACUACGUG
RNAcentral lists this ribosomal RNA (497 nucleotides) under uncultured bacterium. RNAcentral's name for it is "partial 16S ribosomal RNA". It matches the Rfam family "Bacterial small subunit ribosomal RNA", at positions 28 to 507 of the family's 1533-position model. The record is from RNAcentral.